Molecule: long non-coding RNA, 4094 nt
Organism: Apis cerana (Asiatic honeybee)
Lineage: Eukaryota; Metazoa; Arthropoda; Insecta; Hymenoptera; Apidae
Source: RefSeq, a predicted model, not a curated record
GGAAGACUCUCAGAAACAGCAUCGAGUCUGAUGAACACCCGGUGCAGCGUCCCUCAGCGAAGUUCGCGAACUCGGUUAACAAAUGAGUGACAGAGAAAGAGUUUUAAGAGAAAGAAAAAGUAAAAGAAAAUCGAGGGGGAAGGCUAAAGACGAGCUCUCGGUGAGAGAUGUGGGAUGAGAGGUUAUUGCGCAAGCUAAGUGAUAUAGAUCGGCGGACAUUUCUCGUUGGACCUGAAGGUCGGCUAAUCGGGUCGACAUGAAAGUGAACCAAGAUUGUUAUGUAUAAAAAGUAUAGACAAGCGAAAGUAUGACAGUCAUGUCUAUUAUAAAAAGAGAGGUUACCGCGAGGUGCCAUAUUUCGUUCGGUAAAGGACAAUCGUAAAAGAAAAAAAAAUAGAGAAUAGCGUCUAAUAGAGAUGACCGCGGCAGUCUUUCUGAUAUUGAAGAUUGCGAUUCAACUAUGAUUUAAGUUGCGUGUGUUCCAUCUUUAUAAUUAUAUCGGUUAUUUCGUGUUCGAUAUCGCAAUAAACAUGGGGUCAUGCGACAUCGUCAUCAACAUCCACGAUAGAUGGGAUGGCUUAUAGAGAGCAACGCACGCUCUGCAACCGCGCGCGAUUAUUGCGCAACCUGGUGCGUUGCGCAUCAACCGAUGACUCGCAUUGAUGGUUCGACAUCUUGUAUCAAAUCGACUUGUACCAAAGCAGAAGUAAAAUCAGUUCUAUGGAAAUAAUAAUAAAUCACAUCGGUCUUUCCCAUGCAUUUCUCAUCUCAUUGGUAAACGUUCAGCCUUCGUUCCACCAGCUUCACAAUCUUGAAGGAUAAACAGAUAAAUAUUUCUCAGCUAACAUUGGAAGAGUUAAUACGCUUAAUUAUCAAUCUCAUGGUAAUAAAUUCAAUCCAUGCUAUAUGGACAUUGGAUUUCUGGAAUCGGAUCAGAUAAAGAAAAUGUAGGAAAUGAAGAUGAAAUUAAGAAAACAUAGGACAGAAUAUAGAAAUCAACAUGAUUUGAUGAUCGAUAGGAUCGGUGAGUUGUGAGUCGAUUCGAAUUAACUGGUAUAGAGGUGCGGCUUGCGCAAAAAAAACGGGGCAAUCGUGAGUCUCGAUAAUAGGAUACUAUGAUCGUUCGAGACAAUGUAUAUCUUAGCUUGAGAAGAAUAAACUGAAAAGAAUAGACUGGGAUGCUUUCUAAACGGAUCGAGUCUCCGAAUACACCGAUACGCUUUGAGAAGACCCAGCCCUUUGCCGCGCUAUCCGUGCAUUCAUCUAUCUUGCUGCUCGUGUUAUGCCAGAGGUGAGGUUCAUCGGUGAAACACUUCAUCGAGAAUUGUUCCGCCGCAGUCUCAACGCUCGUCGAAUCGCUCUAACGGUGGGCGCUGUCUCCAAAAAAGGAUCGUGCAUGAGAAGACGGGAUCCUAGCCAAGUAAUAAGUGAUCUAUGCUUUAAUGUUCCAUCGUUCUUCUAGUUGAGGCACUUGAUCUUCUCGGUAAAAGCCGAAUAUGGUGUUACUGAUAGUUUUAUGGGAGAAAUAAAAUUUUUUUUCUCCCAUAAUUCCAGAACUCCCUUCUUAUUGUUCUAAUGUAUCUUUUUAGCAAUAGAUUCUACUACACUUUUGUUCUUAUAUUUUUUUUCCAGUGAGAAAAUUGAAAUCUUUAGAAGAUUGGAUAUUUUAUUUCGUUAGAAUAUUUAUCAAGACUGUAUGACUAAAGUACACUGUGAAAUAGAAAUAUCGUUAUUUGUUCAUCUGUUGCAGUUUAAUGGAUUAGGAAACAUUAGAUUUGAUAGGUUAGUUAAUUGCAGUUAUGAACACAGCAUGGCAUAUGCAUGUGUAAAGAGAAAUAAUUUCAUACUCUAUUGCCGCGAGGAUAUUCCCGUAAUCAGAAUAAUCAGACGACAAUUCCAAAUCAACUUUCUCCCCAGUAAGAAUUCUAAGAGAAUAAGACACGAACGAAAAUUGCGGAAGCGGCUCACACGUCGUUAUUGAAUAAUAAUCUCGAACAGGAGGGACUGCACGCAUAAUGCCUCCCUACUAUCGUCUCGAGUCUUGCUUUGUUACGAUCUUACUAGAUAGAUGAUUGCACCAUUUCGAAAGAGCCACAUAGAGGUCGGCAAAGGAGGAAAAUAUUUUUGCGGUUUAGAUAGUUCUUGAAUGUCUUGAUGCAACCAUGUGGACGCAAUGAUAACAGGGAGCAUGACGAAGUAGAUGAGCACGUGUUUCCCGCGACUAAACUAUCUUCUCGCAAUUCUGUGCAACAACCUGAUGCAAUUGAUGGAGAAUUCUUGUGUAUUGGAAUUCUUAAAAUACGUAUUAGUAUAUACUUUCAUCCAGGAUACCGAGCGUACUAUCGUGAUGAUAAUCGUUUCUCGUUCACAGUAAUAUAUAAAAUUUAAACAUUUCUCCUUUUGCUUAGAUGAUGUCUUUAGGCUAUGACCAAGGAACGAUUGACCAGGAUAAAGAUGGUAGGAGGAUUAAAGAACAAAGGAACGUUAGUAAAAUUAUCUUUUAUUAGAGAUUACUACUGAUGAAUCUUUUUCGUUGGAAUUUGAAAACAUAUCGCAAUUAUUCGAUUCGGGAUCCUCCACGAUCGACGCGAUCGAGACUAACCGAGAUGUCGUUUUCUCGUUUUAAAAGGGUCAUCUCCUGAGUGAGCGAGUGAAUGGGUACUCACGGUAGCACACUCUGAGCCUUCUCUUCGUGAGCUGGCUCAUGGUUACGGGAAAAGAAAAUAUAGUUCAGUCUGGUUGCAUAAUAGAGGUGCAUCACAUUGGAUCGACUGAAGUACUUUGAGAAUCUAUAGUAACAGCGAAUAUUUCUUCUUCUAGCGUCAAUGCUGACCUUUGAAGCUGAAAGCAUAGCUGAACACUUGUAACACCGUUGUUCGCUGAGGGUAGGGGUGCAGUCAUGCUGUAGCGAAGAUGAAAACCAUUAGCCCCGAGCUAUAGAGUUAGAUGAUCUAAUUUCUAUAUAGUUUGUAUACCGACACCCGGACUCGACCUGUUCACCUUGGAUGCUGAGCAAUAUAAAAGCAAGCUCUUCGACUCAUGAGCUUAAAACGAUGCUCGAUUGCAUCGUCAAACCAUGAACUAAUAUAAAAUUGAAUUCAAUCGGUUUGUAUUAUGUUUAAUUUUAUGAUAAAUUUAAGACAUCAAUUUAAUUUUUAUAAUUUUCAUAAUUCAAUUUGAAACAUGAGAAAUAUUUUAUAAAAAAUAAAAAAAAUCAAUUUUUUUUAUUAUAUUUAUUUAGUGAAAUAUUUUUUUUUAAAUUUAUAAUAGUAAUUCUAUUCUCUCUUACAUAUUUACAUCUCUUAGAUAUUUCACGAAUACAUGUUAAUUAAAAUCGAUGUGAUCUUAGAUCUAAUUAAUAGUGAUGCAGAUGAUUAGGAGUCACAUUCGUGUUUAAUUUAAUUGGAACGUUAAUUAGAUAGUAAGUUAUAGCGAAGCUCAGCACUAUAUUCUUUUCAGUGUAACAUAUAUUUUUAAUUUUUUUCUCAUUAACCAUUUCUACUAUUCAUUUUAAAUAAAAUGUUCUUAGGUAUUAUUAAUUUCCAAAAAUUAUGAUUUCCUAGAAUAUUUCCUAUAGAAAAUAUAUAUAUUUUUUAAUAUUAAUUUUAUAUAUAUAUAUUUUAAUAAAACAAAAAAACUAUAUAUGAAGUUAUAUUUUUUUUAACUCUUUUAUAUUUUUUGUCUGUGUUAGAUUUUUUUUUAAAUUUAAAUAUAAAGACACAUAUAAUAUAUAAAUUUGAAAUAAAAUAUUGAUAAUCAUGAUAAUCAUACAUGAGGAACAGUAUCUCUUCUAUAUCUCAUCUAUGAUAUGAAUGAAUUGAAAGUUGUUGUUCCAGUCUGUUACCUACAAAUGGUAAAUCGCAUGCUUUUUGGCACAAAUGAUUGAUCUAUUUUUUAAAUAUAUUUUAAAUAUACUUAUAAAACUUAAUAAUAAAUAAUUUUUUCGAAACUAUAAAAACAUAUAGAGACUAAAAUUUCAAACACAAUUAUAUAAUAAUUAUAAAUUAUAAAUUAAUAUUUAACAUUGUAAAUAUAAAAUUAUUAUUUUAUUUUAUAAAAUUUCAAAAUAUAAUAUAAAAAUUAUUUUUCAUGUU